Molecule: ribosomal RNA, 478 nt
Filed under: uncultured bacterium
Lineage: Bacteria
Description: partial 16S ribosomal RNA
Rfam family: Bacterial small subunit ribosomal RNA
Source: RNAcentral
GACGAACGCUGGCGGCGUGCUUAACACAUGCAAGUCGAACGGUAAGGCCCUUCGGGGUACACGAGUGGCGAACGGGUGAGUAACACGUGGGUGAUCUGCCCUGCACUUCGGGAUAAGCCUGGGAAACUGGGUCUAAUACCGGAUAGGACUCCUGGCUUCAUGGUUGGGGGUGGAAAGCUUUUGCGGUGUGGGAUGGGCCCGCGGCCUAUCAGCUUGUUGGUGGGGUAAUGGCCUACCAAGGCGACGACGGGUAGCCGGCCUGAGAGGGUGACCGGUCACACUGGGACUGAGAUACGGCUCAGACUCCGACGGGAGGCAGCAGUGGGGAAUAUUGCACAAUGGGCGCAAGCCUGAUGCAGCGACGCCGCGUGAGGGAUGACGGCCUUCGGGUUGUAAACCUCUUUCAGCACCGACGAAGCGCAAGUGACGGUAGGUGCAGAAGAAGGACCGGCCAACUACGUGCCAGCAGCCGCAGUAA